GCACUGCUGAUGAGACCCAAGCAGGUCGAAACAGCUGUCCAGUGC
Echinostoma caproni is the source of this 45-nucleotide non-coding RNA. The record is from Rfam. Lineage: Eukaryota; Metazoa; Platyhelminthes; Trematoda; Plagiorchiida; Echinostomatidae.